GAGGGUGGAGUUCAGUGGUAGAGUGCGUGCUUAGCAUGCAUGAGGUCCUGGGUUCAAUCCCCAGCACCUCCG
Molecule: transfer RNA, 72 nt
Filed under: Camelus bactrianus (Bactrian camel)
Lineage: Eukaryota; Metazoa; Chordata; Mammalia; Artiodactyla; Camelidae
Also listed under: 2 other names
Rfam family: tRNA
About the family: Transfer RNA (tRNA) molecules are approximately 80 nucleotides in length.
Source: Rfam by way of RNAcentral